CAGUCGUGAGGAAGGUAGUGUAGUUAAUAGCUGCAUUAUUUGACGUUACCUACAGAAGAAGCACCGGCUAACUCCGUGCCAGCAGCCGCGGUAAUACGGAGGGUGCGAGCGUUAAGUCGGAAUUACGUGGGACGUAAAGCCGCAUGCAGGCGGCCUGUUAAGUCAGAUGUAGAAACGGCCCGGGGACUUAACCGUACGGUAAUUGCUAUUUAGAAACGUGGCAGGCUAGAGUCUUGUAGAGGGGGUAGAAUUUCAGGUGUAGCGGUGAAAAUGCGUAGAGAUCUGAAGGAAUACCAGUGGCGAAGGCGGCCCCCUGGACAAAGACUGACGCUCAGAUGCGAAAGCGUGGGGAGCAAACAGGAUUAGAUACCCUGGUAG
This 378-nucleotide ribosomal RNA is filed under the name uncultured bacterium. RNAcentral describes it as "bacterial SSU rRNA". It matches the Rfam family "Bacterial small subunit ribosomal RNA", at positions 433 to 793 of the family's 1533-position model. The record is from RNAcentral.